RNAcentral lists this ribosomal RNA (633 nucleotides) under uncultured fungus. RNAcentral's name for it is "eukaryotic LSU rRNA". It matches the Rfam family "Eukaryotic large subunit ribosomal RNA", at positions 24 to 664 of the family's 3401-position model. Lineage: Eukaryota; Fungi. The record is from RNAcentral.
CCCGCUGAACUUAAGCAUAUCAAUAAGCGGAGGAAAAGAAACUAACAAGGAUUCCCCUAGUAACUGCGAGUGAAGCGGGAAGAGCUCAAAUUUGAAAUCUGGCGGUCCCUUGGGCUGUCCGAGUUGUAAUCUAGAGAAGUGUUACCUGUGCUGGACCGUGUACAAGUCUCCUGGAAUGGAGCAUCACAGAGGGUGAGAAUCCCGUCUUUGACACGGACUGCCUGUGCGAUAUGGUGCGCUCUCGAAGAGUCGAGUUGUUUGGGAAUGCAGCUCAAAAUGGGUGGUAAAUCUCUUCUAAAGCUAAAUACCGGCCAGAGACCGAUAGCGCACAAGUAGAGUGAUCGAAAGAUGAAAAGCACCUUGAAAAGGGGGUUAAAGAGUACGUGAAAUUGUUGAAAGGGAAGCGCUCGUAACCAGACCUGGGCCAGGCGGCUCAUCCGGCGUUCUUCGCUGGUGCACUCCGCCCGGCACAGGCCAGCAUCGGUUCUAGCAGGGGGGGAUAAGGGCUCGGGGAAUGUGGCUCCCUCCAGGGAGUGUUAUAGCCCCGCUGCACGAUGCCCUCGCAGGGACCGAGGUUCGCGCUCCGCAAGGAUGCUGGCGUAAUGGUUACUAGCGACCCGUCUUGAAACACGG